AGAGUUUGAUCAUGGCUCAGGAUGAACGCUAGCGGCAGGCUUAACACAUGCAAGUCGAGGGGCAUCGGGAGGGAAGCUUGCUUUCCUUGCCGGCGACCGGCGCACGGGUGAGUAACACGUAUGCAACCUGCCCUCUUCAGGGGGACAACCUUCCGAAAGGGAGGCUAAUCCCGCGUAUAUCGGUUUCGGGCAUCCGUUAUCGAGGAAAGAUUCAUCGGAAGAGGAUGGGCAUGCGGCGCACUAGCUAGACGGCGGGGUAACGGCCCACCGUGGCGACGAUGCGUAGGGGUUCUGAGAGGAAGGUCCCCCACACUGGUACUGAGACACGGACCAGACUCCUACGGGAGGCAGCAGUGAGGAAUAUUGGUCAAUGGGAGAGAUCCUGAACCAGCCAAGCCGCGUGAGGGAAGACGGCUCUAUGGGUUGUAAACCUCUUUUGUCGGAGAACAAAACCCGGGACGUGUCCCGGACUGCGUGUAUCCGAAGAAAAAGCAUCGGCUAACUCCGUGCCAGCAGCCGUGGUAAUACGGAGGAUGCGAGCGUUAUCCGGAUUUUAUUGGNUUUAAAGGGUGCGUAGGCGGUUCCGUUAAGUCAGCGGUAAAAAUUGCGGGGCUCAACCCCGUUCGAGCCGUUGAAAACUGGCAGACUUGAGUUGGCGAGAAAGUACGCGGAAUGCGCGGUGUAGCGGUGAAAUGCAUAGAUAUCGCGCAGAACUCCGAUUGCGAAGGCAGCGUACCGGCGCCAGACUGACGCUGAGGCACGAAAGCGUGGGGAUCGAACAGGAUUAGAUACCCUGGUAGUCCACGCAGUAAACGAUGAAUGCUGGUUGUCCGGGUCGAAUGAGAUCUGGGCGGCGAAGCGAAAGCGAUAAGCAUUCCACCUGGGGAGUACGCCGGCAACGGUGAAACUCAAAGGAAUUGACGGGGGCCCGCACAAGCGGAGGAACAUGUGGUUUAAUUCGAUGAUACGCGAGGAACCUUACCCGGGCUCAAACGGGAGUGGAAUGAACCAGAGACGGUUCAGCCUACGGGCCGCUUCCGAGGUGCUGCAUGGUUGUCGUCAGCUCGUGCCGUGAGGUGUCGGCUUAAGUGCCAUAACGAGCGCAACCCCCGCCGGCAGUUGCUAACGGGCAAUGCCGAGGACUCUGCCGGGACUGCCGCCGCAAGGCGUGAGGAAGGCGGGGAUGACGUCAAAUCAGCACGGCCCUUACGUCCGGGGCGACACACGUGUUACAAUGGGCGGUACAGCGGGAAGCCAGGCGGCGACGCCGAGCGGAACCCGAAAGCCGUUCUCAGUUCGGAUCGGAGUCUGCAACCUGACUCCGUGAAGCUGGAUUCGCUAGUAAUCGCGCAUCAGCCAUGGCGCGGUGAAUACGUUCCCGGGCCUUGUACACACCGCCCGUCAAGCCAUGGGAGCCGGGGGUGCUUGAAGUGCGUCGCCGCGAGGCGCGCCCUAGAGCAAAACCGGUGACUGGGGCUAAGUCGUAACAAGGUAACCG
RNAcentral lists this ribosomal RNA (1498 nucleotides) under uncultured bacterium. Its description in RNAcentral is "16S ribosomal RNA". It matches the Rfam family "Bacterial small subunit ribosomal RNA". The record is from RNAcentral.